UGCGCAGGCGGCCAUGUGUGUCAGGUGUGAAAUACCCGGGGCUUAACCCCGGAACUGCGCCUGAAACUACAUGGCUAGAGUACUGGAGAGGGUAGUGGAAUUCACGGUGUAGCAGUGAAAUGCGUAGAUAUCGUGAGGAACACCAGAGGCGAAGGCGACUACCUGGACAGUUACUGACGCUCAGGCACGAAAGCGUGGGGAGUCAAAGGGAUUAGAUACCCCCUGUAGUCCCACGCCCUAAACGGUGCACACUAGGUCUUGGCGGAUUCGACCCCGCCAGGGCCCAAGCUAACGCGUUAAGUGUGCCGCCUGAGGACUACGGCCGCAAGGCUAAA
RNAcentral lists this ribosomal RNA (335 nucleotides) under uncultured bacterium. RNAcentral's name for it is "bacterial SSU rRNA". It matches the Rfam family "Bacterial small subunit ribosomal RNA", at positions 568 to 898 of the family's 1533-position model. The record is from RNAcentral.